CCAACCCCCUGCCCCCCCCAAGACAUGGGAUGCAGAGGUGUACAACCAACUCCCAACUCCCUCCCCCUCAAAGGGAGGCCCCAAAGACCCCCAAGUGGAGGCCCCUAGAAUGUACAAGCACCUCUCAACUCCCCCAGGCACAGGCAUCCCCCCCAAACACAGGCCACAAAGGUGUACAAACAGCCCAGACCCAGGGUAUGAGACCCAGGCCCCUAAAGUGUACAAGCAGCUCCCAACCACCCACAGAUGCAGGCCCCAAGGCCCCAACCCCUCUCAAAAGGGAGGCACCUACAAUGCAUGAGCAGUUCCCAAUCCCCCUGAACAUAGGUCCAGAAGUGUACAAGCAGCUCCCAACCCCCAUCAACGACAGGCCCAAAAAGUGUACAAGUAGCUCCCACACCAGAGACAGGCCCCAAAGGUGUACAACCAGUUCCUAAGCCCCCUGAGACACAGGCCACAACCCCCCCAGACACAGGGCCCCAAAUUCUACGAGCAGCUCCCAUCCCCUGCAAGGCAGGCCCCCUACCCUAUAUAAACAGCUCCCAACCCCCCCCCCCCCCCGAGGGAGUCCCCCAAGCCCCCCCAAACACAAGCCCUUACAGUGUACAAGCAGCUCCCAAACACCCCCAGAUGCAGGCCCCAAAGGUGUACAAACAGCUCCCACCCCUCCCCCAGACGCAGGCCCCAAGCCCCCCCCAAACACAGGCUCCUACAGUAUACUGCCUGCACCCAAUCCAUCUACCCCCGAUGACAGCCCCAAAGGUGUAGAACCAGCUCCAAACCUCCCCCCCCCAACCCAGGCUCCAACAGUGUACAAGCAGCUUCCCCCCACCUCACCUCAGACACUCAGCAGAUUCUGAGCAACGCGUACCACAGCACCACUAAAACAGAGGGGAAACACUUCAGAGACUUGCCUUAGGGGGACCCUUGCUUAGGGACACUGACUGGGCUGAUAACCCUCCUGCCUUUCCUCAGCAUUCCAGAGAGGAUUCGCCUCUCUGAGACUACAAGAAGCAGCCACUAAAGAAAAAAAAGGCAGAUCCUCAGGCACCUCACAGGCAUACUCUCUGUGAAUACUCUCUGUGUUCGCUCUUUCUGAACAACCCUAAAUAUAUCCCUACCCGGAAUCUGAGAGGAAUUUAAAAUAGGACCCCAGAAAACGCAUACAAAGCCCCUUUCGCCCAUAUUUCGCCCAAAUAUUUUUUAACCCUUCUGUUGAAGGUGGUAGCAAUCUUUAUUCAGUAGUCUUCUUCAUUAGAAAAAGCAUCUACCCAUCAUAGCUGUAGUUUUAAAGAUUUUCUUUUUUCUCGUGGAUAUGAUGAUCAGCCAACACUAAGAACACAGGCUACUAGUAGCAGUUUUAACAGAAGAUGUGAAAGAGGGAAAGGUUGUGCUUAGGGUGGACACGGCUGCUAUUUGUGUCCAAGGCUACUUCUUAAGCUUUAAUGAGUAGACUCAUGUUACAAAGAAGAGAAAAAACAUUAUUCCAAGGGGCCAGAGUAAAGAAUGGUAUACCUGUCCAUCUCAGUAGCCUUCCAAUAAGCCAUUUCAUGUUUCCUGGUCACCUGACACUGGUUUGAAGAGAGAUUACACAGAUGUAUGAAAAAUGUGGCCUUUAGAAAUGACAAACAAGAACCUAUCCAUCAAUACCAACAGUUGGCUUUUGUUUUGAUCAAGAGCCUGAAGAGGAUGGAUCUAAGACACUACUUUGAGACAGCCAAUGUCUAGAAGCUAGUUCAGAGAACAACGUCUCAUCACACUAAGAUGCAUGUAAUUCAUGCCACAGUCUGACGAAGACUACUUGUAUAAUGGCUAUUUGUCCAGUUUUCCCAGCAGUUUCAUAUUAUUGUAUGGUACUUUGUCUUUUAGAUAAGACAAAUGUGAAGAAGAACUUCACACUGCUUCUUGUGGCUUGUGUCAAACAAAAUUGAAGCAUAACUGCCAUGUUCCCUGCCUUCUAUCUACACUCCAGACUGCUCUUGUAUGUAUCAGGAUCUGAACUAGUGGAAAGAUGAUGACUCUCAGAAAAGCUUUCAAAAGAGGCUGAGAUUAUUCUGCAAAGAUGAAGACAAAAGUUACUGCGAAACAAUACACAGUUAAAUUAAAAGAAAAACAAGACACCCACAAGUAGUAGUAUAUACAUUCAGAAAAGGAGACCUCCCUGAUGAGAUACUUAAGACUGGAUUAGACAAACGUCUCCUAGACCACACUAUUUGCUACUUGGGCAAGGCUGGAGAUUGACUUCAUGAACUUCAUGGCUUUCCUUUGUGCAAUAAAGCUCUUAGUGUGAAUAUUGCAUUACUCCAUGAAUUUACAAGGAUGUAAUCUAAGCAGGGAAGCACAAUACAGAACAAGAUGACAAUUUAAGAAGUCUGAAAUAUUUCUUUGGCAUAUAAAUGAUGGAUCACCAUUAUAUUGCUUCUCACUCACAUCUGUCUGGAGGUCCCAGAUGAUAAAAUGCACACUCUUUGCCUUUUUCCUCCACUAGCUGAGUGCUGCCCAGUCUGUAAAAGUGAUUAGUGAUUAGAUUACACGUAUCCGGAUGUACUGGAACUCAUCUACUGGAGAUUCAGCACUCAAUCUGAAGACAAGGAGAUGAGAGUCUUUUCCUGAAGAUGGAGAAAGUCAGGAAACGGCAAACUAGAAAAAGACAGUGGUGGUUUGAAAUUAAUACUUCCAAAGAGAUGAAGCACCUAACAGACAGAGCAUUGCCAUAAAAGCAAAGUUAAACAAUUUUGCUUCUCUGAGUGUAAGCAGCAAUGUAACAGGAAGACUGCUUGUGAACUCUAUCUAGACUCUACAGUUCCAGUAAGCAACCCUUUCAAUUCACUAGCAGAGUUUCCCAUCAGAUGGUGCUGCAGCAAUAAAUAAUAGGAGCCUCAAAACAGGGAAACCUACACUACUAGAAGACAGUGAAAAUAUGACAGAUACAAACUAAAGGCAAGAGAAGAAGGGUUAACUUUAAAUUCUGGAACCAUCCAGCCUAGCAGCUGAUACCUGGAUCCUUAACAGAGUCUGAAAACCUUUUGGAUGCGGACUGGUUUUGCUUAUCAGUUCUUCAAAGUUAGGCAAGUUAGGUUCAAGGCAUAUUCCAACUGCAAAAAUAGCACAGCAUCCACCACCACGGCUAAAUGUUUUUUCCACAAAGAUAGACUUGAGUGGAAUACACAACUCCGAAAUUUAAAAUAAAUAAAUAAAUAAAUAAAUAAAUAAAUAAAUAAAUAAAUGAUACACUACUAUUUGCAGUUGGAAAUAAGCUAUGUUAAGAGUAGUUUCUUAACUAAAAGCCAAGUUUCUUAAAAUGCAAGUAAAGCAAGAUUUUCUGACAAAAGUGUACUCUCUUACUAGUCUAGCUGGUAUAGCUGGAAACAUAAGCACGCUUUCUUAAUAUACAUGUAUAGUCAGUGUGGAUCCAACCGUAAAUACAAAAGCAAGAUCACAUGUGCUGCCUUCAAUUCUGAUAAUAGAUAAACAUGAAUCAGGGCAGCUUCUGGAACCUUUAUUGUUAUAAGUUGCCCCCUUAAUUAAUUUUCAGAGAGCAUUGCAUUAAUAAUAGAAAGGAAUUUAUUGAGUAAGUAACAGCAAGCAAAACAGCGCUGGGUAGCCGGGGAGUCUCGGCUCCG
Molecule: non-coding RNA, 3623 nt
Organism: Anas platyrhynchos (mallard)
Lineage: Eukaryota; Metazoa; Chordata; Aves; Anseriformes; Anatidae
Source: RefSeq, a predicted model, not a curated record